Nicotiana tabacum (common tobacco) is the source of this 2934-nucleotide non-coding RNA. Lineage: Eukaryota; Viridiplantae; Streptophyta; Magnoliopsida; Solanales; Solanaceae. The record is from RefSeq and is a predicted model, not a curated record.
UUGUUUUUUCCUUGUUUCCAUUGGCUCUUUGCUCAACUUACCACUUCUUGUCCCUUACUUCCAAGAAAUAGUGAGAAAAAUAAAGGGUAGGGGUCCUUUUUUUUUUUGUGAUUAAGAAUUUAGGUGGAUGAUUGAAAAGGGGACAACCCCACUUGUGUAAAACUUCCAUACUUCAGUCAUCCAUUAUUUUCUGCUUCAUUCAUCUCCAUUUUAUUGCUUCUCUUGUGUUUGUAUAAUCACCUCAAUUGGGAGUCUAAAUAAACACAAUAAGCUAGUUUUGUUUUUUCAAAAUAUAAUCUUUGAUUAUUUUAAGAAAGAGGUUGAUGACCUUUGUUUGUUCCCCAUAAAUUUGUACUAUAAAAAGUUGGUAUUUUGGAUAAAAGGAGGGGUCUUUGUAUCUGGACUUAUCUCUACUUUUUUCAUCAUUAGGGGAUUUUUCCAGGUGUCAGAGACCCAUAUCAGAUCUGUUUUCCCAUCUUAGAAUACCAAAAAAAAAGGAAUAAAAAUCUAAUCUUUAUUGUGUAUAUGAACUGAUCUUGGACUCAAACUGGAUUCUUGAUAUGGGAAUUUGAGAACAUAAAUAGAGGAGAAGCUUUCCACUUUCCUUUUGCUGUUGUUUCUAAAUUUAUGUAACCUCUUUUCCAUUGUUUUGUUUCUUUUUGCUCUUAUAAGAAUAAAAGAGUUGUGUGUAUAGUAAGAGUUUACUUAGUUAAAGCUUUGUUUUAGUCGAUUCCUCUUGAGUCGAUGGUCUUUGCCUCUAGAGGUCGGUAAGACGUGCAUACGCAGUACCCUUCUGAGACCUUACUUAUAAAAUUUUAUCGGAUUUAAUUGGUUGAUUUUGUUUUUAGUCAAUCUUGUUAGACUUUUGGUGAGGCCCACUAUUUGUUUUGGUGGGCUUCAUCAAACCAAUAGAAGGAUAAAACCUGUAUUUUUGGAAGGGGAUUGGUGGGGAUCCCCUUUAUCUCCUUUUUAAGUAGAGGUUGUAGUUUAAUAAUUGUUAUAUAGUAGGAGAAAGAGGGUAAAAACAAAUGAGUUUCUAUUUAUUUACCUACCUUUUGAUCUUCUCCCCACAUGAUUUAUGCUUAAAUUGAAUCAUCAAAAACCUUUUUUCAAAUGCUUUUCUUAUUGAUAACUUGCUUCACCUUCAUCACUUUCCUUUAUAAGUCUCUUUCCCUUAAACCACUUCCCUUAUGGAGUUCUGAGGUGAGAUUGUUAUCAAUCCAUUUUUGGAAAGAUUUCUUGAUUUUGUUGAACCCUUUCAAGAAAGGAUUUUUAGAAGCUGGUUUUAUCCAUUUUAUUACUUCAAGAAUGUCAAUUAGGAGGAAGAGUUUCAGCUCUAGAGUAGAGAAUGUUGAUCCAAAUUUAGAAAUGUCUGUUCUUGAUUUGCCUGAAUUGGCUUUGGAUUGUAUUCUUGAAAGGCUUCCCCCUGAGGGACUUUGUAAUAUGGCCAGUGUUUGUAGUUUUUUGAAAGAGAAAUGUAAAAGCGAUUAUCUUUGGGAAAGACAUAUGAAAGAAAAAUGGGGUAGAGUUAUUGGACCUGCUGCUUAUAGGGAAUGGCAGUGGCAUAUUGCUUCAAGAAAUGAUUCAAGUUUCUUUAACCAGGCUAAACAAAGAGGUUUUAUGACUUACCUCUCUCAGUUUUGGCCUAUUUCAUUAGUUAGUAGAUCUAAUUUUAGCAUUAGUAUCAAGAAAAAACAUACCGCAUCUGUUGAUUCAGUUAUGUCUUGGUAUCUUGCUCUUGAAUCUGGCAAGUUUUGGUUCCCUGCUCAAGUUUACAAUCGCGAGAAUGGGCAUGUUGGUUUUAUGCUGUCUUGCUAUGAUGCUGAGCUUAGCUAUGAUCCAAGAACUGACACUUUCCAGGCCAGAUAUCCACCACAUGGAAGGAGGGCAAUUGCAAUAGAGACAGGUGUAACAUGGGAUAGAUUAAGAGCUCCCCCUCUUGAUACUUCUCCACAUGAUCUUUAUAUAUCUGAUUGCUUGACUGAAUUAUGCCCUGGUGAUCACAUUGAGAUUCAAUGGAGAAGAAACAAAGAAUUCCCUUAUGGAGGUCAUGGGCUCGAGCUGUGGAAUUGGGAGUCUUUGCGUAAUUGGUAAAGUUGUUGUCAUGUGACCAGGAGGUCAUGGGCUCGAACUGUGGAAACAGCCUCUUGUAGAAAUAUAGAGUAAGGCGGCAUACAAUAGACCUUUGUGGUCCGGCCUUUUGCCGGACCCCGCGCAUAGCAGAAACUUAGUACACCGGACUGGUACUUUGGUGAAGUUAGGCUGGUGGUAUGGUGUUGUAGGCCACUUAGAAACAUGUGAUGGAAAUGAGAUUUACUGCCGUUGUCAUGAUAGUGAUAUUGUAAUGCUGGAGUUCAAUCAGUAUACUCCUGGAUCACGGUGGAGAACAACAACCAUCGAUAGGAAAGAUCAUCGUGAGGAAGGAAAUGAAGCUGAUGGAUUUUAUGGAGGAAUUCGGAAGCUUCAGAGCAACGAAGAGAUUUCUAUGUGGAGACACCUCUGGCCAACUGAUGCGUUGGAGUAAGUUAAAAAAGAGUAUUUGGAAUUUACUCGCUUAAUGCUUCACUGUUGUUGGCAGAAAGAUCACCAUUACAAAAGUUCAUUUGGUCCAUCAGAAUGUGAAAAUGUUACACAAGAACUUAGAAGUUCACUUCCACUAGCAUUUUCAGUCCCUAUUUUCAAUUAUGUCUAUUGUUUAGUGAUCAGUGGAGGAGUUAGAAGAGGUUAUUUUAUAAUGCAGAGAUUGCCUUAUUUGCUUCUCCAUAGGUCCAAAUUGUUUGUAAAAUAACUACCACGUUUACAGAUUGAUUUGUUUAGUGAAUCUAUUAAAGCUAUAGUAUAGCUUCUUGUACUAAGAAUGUAGAUUCUUGAUUUAUCUUUUACCACCAUUAUGGUUUCUUUUGAUCAAUGAAAGGAUAGAUGCUUAGUUUUUUA